Molecule: microRNA, 23 nt
Filed under: Homo sapiens (human)
Lineage: Eukaryota; Metazoa; Chordata; Mammalia; Primates; Hominidae
Description: hsa-miR-6884-3p
Source: miRBase by way of RNAcentral
CCCAUCACCUUUCCGUCUCCCCU